RNAcentral lists this ribosomal RNA (240 nucleotides) under uncultured Lactobacillus sp. RNAcentral describes it as "partial 16S ribosomal RNA". It matches the Rfam family "Bacterial small subunit ribosomal RNA", at positions 122 to 354 of the family's 1533-position model. Lineage: Bacteria; Bacillati; Bacillota; Bacilli; Lactobacillales; Lactobacillaceae. The record is from RNAcentral.
UAACCUGCCCAAGAGAUCGGGAUAACACCUGGAAACAGAUGCUAAUACCGGAUAACAACAGAUGAUGCCUAUCAACUGUUUAAAAGAUGGUUAUGCUAUCACUCUUGGAUGGACCUGCGGUGCAUUAGCUAGUUGGUAGGGUAACGGCCUACCAAGGCGAUGAUGCAUAGCCGAGUUGAGAGACUGAUAGGCCACAUUGGGACUGAGACACGGCCCAAACUCCUACGGGAGGCAGCAGGU